This is a non-coding RNA of Dermacentor albipictus, 6119 nucleotides long. Lineage: Eukaryota; Metazoa; Arthropoda; Arachnida; Ixodida; Ixodidae. The record is from RefSeq and is a predicted model, not a curated record.
GGAACAGACAAGUGAAGGAUAUGGCUUUUACAACUAGUUUCAUCAGUAGUGACAGACAAUGAAACCAUGAUCUAUCCUGACGCAUGUCACGGUACAAGUUGACACACAAAGCAUCCAGACAAAAGAAAACGGGCCAACUAAAGAAUAGUAGUUCAAAACUUAGAACAUAGAACAUAAAGAAAUUUAAAAGGUAGACAGCAACUUCUGCGAAGAGAUCAAAUGUAUGGCGAGCAACGCAUGCGCAUAUUGCCUUUACUCCCGCUAGACGAUCGGAAAAUGAACAGCUAUGUGUCCCCUUUACACAUUUGACCGGCCUGAUAAGAUGUGGCGUAGCACCACCCCUAUCAGUUAUCUCAAUGCGCAGAACAGUGGUCUGAUCUUGCAGCAUUCAUAAUGGGUUGCGCAUUUUAUCAAUGUCCUCACUGCACGAAAUUUUUAUUUUUGGUGCGUUGUCCAUCCGUCGGGCGAAAAUCUUGCUAUUUUGUACCCAAACGUAUUUCCAACCGGCCUCGCGCUUACAUGAAGUAGCCUGGCCUAGCAGACGUUUCAGCUCUGGGCACAAAUGCUCGUUAACAAAGAAUGGUGCCUGGGAGUCCAAACCUAGGUCAGAACACUUCAGCCGAGCAGCACGCGCUUUCUCGAGAAAGCAAUCCCGUUUGUGCCUCCGCACAAACUGGACUACUACAUUCUUUUUUCUUGGAUCUUUGGCAGUCGGCACUCUGUGCACAGACUCGAUAUCUGCCGCAACAAGCGCAACACCUAUUUUUUCUCCAAUUUUCAUUACUGUUUCAGCGAGGUUUUCGCUGUCGUUACACGGGAUGCCUUUGAGCUCUACAUUUGCAUUGCGGGAGUAUUGUUCAAGGUGUAGCAUUCUGCUCUCGUGAUUUUUCACCUGUUGAACAAGAUCAGCGCACUGUGCCUCUAGUUUAGCAUUCGUCGCCUUAAGUUCCUUGUUUGCAGCCUUCAUUUCUUCACAAUCAGCAUUUAUGGAAACCAAAGCGGCCUUAAUUUCCCUGAGUUCUUUUCGAAUAUCCCGCUCGAUUGUGUCUCUGAAGUCGUUGAAUUCAGCCCGGAUUUCACGCCUCAGUUCAUCGAAAAGGGCUCUGAUCUCUUUCGCCAUGCUUCAACAACAGAAAUAGGUAGUAACACACUUGUGGCAGCAACAGCAGCAGCAAAAAAGCAAAAAAUCCAGAAAACACACAGGAAUUGGGCACAAACCUGCGUGAAAAGGUGUGCAGCGUUUGAGUCCCGUGAACUUCGCUGCCGCUACCGCUGCCAAGUGAAGAACGGAGAUGUUGUUCGGUCAAUUUGUAGACUCAGGUUGCGGGGUUGGACCAAUGCGAAGCGAUGAUCCAGGCAGCGUCACAGUCAUACGAGGGCUGACGUAUGCUGGCCUUGCUCGAUGCAGUUGAAGAUUGCUUGACCUAUAUCAGGGCAUCGGAACCACCACAGCAAGCCGGACACGAAAGAUUCCAGUAGCCCUGCGUGAAAAGGUGUGCAGCGUUUGAGUCCCGUGAACUUCGCUGCCGCUACCGCUGCCAAGUGAUAUCGUUCCUCUAUUAAGUCAAUUGUAUUACUUUAGCCUUUGAAAGAAAACAGCCUAUUAUUAUUUGAUUCCUUUUGCUGGUACUCGUACGACGCAAUAGCUCACGGUCAAGAACUUUCCGACGCAUGAAGGUUUAGAAGGCUGUGCUGGGUGUGCAGAACUCAUCGCGUCCCUUCAUGGAAGAUUCCCCUGUCCCUGAAGCUGCAAGUUGUGCCCCCCACCAGUUGUUCUGCAAGCGUGUCCGGAGCGUGGCGUGACGUGACGUGGCGGACACGGCAGCGAUUUUCCUGAUUCCCCUGUCCCAGAAGGUGCAAGUUCUGCGCCCCACCAGUUUGUUCUGCAAGCGUGUCCGGAGCGUGGCGUGACGUGACGUGGCGGACAUGGCAGCGAUUUUCCUGGUAAAGCACCACUGUUAGCUGAGCCAAUCAACUGCGGCAUCAUCGGCGACGUCACAGCGCCAAAGCUUCAUAAACGAGUGCUUCGCGGGAGUUCGAUUCACUUGGCAGCAGCGACGACGCAUCUACUACAACGCUGAACGCCUGUCUGCAUUUUUGCCGCUGUAUGGUGUUUUAAGAUACUAUUGUACUAAUACUAUUGCAUACAAUUUACCGACGCUGCUGCCGGGUUUCAUUAUUUUGUUUUAUUUGCUUUUCUUUGCUUUGUUCUUUGCUUUGUGGAGUGCAUAUUUUGUGUUGAUAAGGUAUGGCUAAGGAAAUAGCUAAACUAAGAGAGGAAAUGAAAGCUGAGCUCACUCAACUGAAACAGGAAUUUAGGGAUCAACUAAAGCAGUAUCGUGAGGCAUUGGAAAGGGACAUGCGCAAUGAGAUUCGAGAAAUCAAAAUAGAGCACAAAAUUCAAAUUCAGAGCAUUGAGUUUCGUCACGCCUAUGUUGAAGAACUGAAGACAAGACUGAAUGCUGAAGAAACUGCAAGACGAAAACUAGAAAAUGAAAAUAUAGUGCUUCAAGAAAGAUGCAACUCCCUCGAACGCAGGGCCGGAGAACUUGAAAAACGCUUUGUGCACUCGGAGCAGUACUUGAGAAACAAAAAUCUCGAAAUGCAAGGCGUCGUCAAAAAAGAUAAUGAGAAUGUGCUGGACACCGUUCUGAUGAUCGGGAACGUUAUCAAAGGAGAAAUUGUUGACACUGACAUUGAAAUAUGUCACCGUGUACCCACCCGAGACCCAGAAAAAUCGAAUAUCAUUGUGCAGUUUAAAUCAGGGACCAAGCCCGAUGCUGUGCUUAACAAGGCGAAGAGUGCACGUCUUUCUAAGAAGGAUAUUGGAAAUGAUAACAUUCACAAUAUUUACGUGAACGAGCACCUAUGCCCUACCCUAAAGCAACUACUUGGAAUCGCUAUCGGUAGAAAACGUGACCAUGGAUGGAAGUCCGUCUGGUCGUAUUAUGGCAGGAUAUUCGCGAGGCAGUCUGACGACACACCCAGUGUAAGAAUACAGCAUCACGAAGACCUUUCGAAGAUAUGCUAAAUGUUGUGUUAAAACUUGUACUUUCUGUUCAAGAUGGAAUAUUUUGAAUUUGCGCUACCACAAAACUUUCAUCUACAAGAUACCAAGCUUAUCUCUAUUUUGCAUUUCAAUUCCCGUUCCGCUAUUUACAAAAGUGACAGUAUCUCUUGUCUUCUCAAGCAAUUUUUUUUCCAGUUCGACGUCAUCAUGAUUUCUGAAACUUGGUUUCAAUAUAGCUACGACGUCGUCGGCCUGGAUGGAUAUACUUCUUUUUAUUUAAACCGUCAGAAUAGGCGAGCGGGUGGCGUUGCCCUUUAUACUAAAAAUUAUUACCAUUACGAAGUGAUGCCAGAGUUUACAUUCAUUAUUCUUGACUGCGAGAUGUUAACUGUCAAGGACAAGAAAAGGGUCUUAUCAGUAAUAUACCGCGCUCCGAGCGGAAGUAUUGAGAAUUUCAUUGGUUGUUUUGGUAAGGUACUGGAGUUCUGUUCAUUUAAUAAUGUUCAUUUUGUCUGUGGAGGCGACUUCAACAUAAAUAUUUUACAUAAAAAUAAGCAUGUGCAGGAUUUAAACAAUCUACUACUAUCAUUUGGCUUUACCAAUCUGAUCACUACAGCAACGAGGGUUACUCAAUCUACCUCAUCUGCCCUCGACCUUCUUAUUACAAAUAUAGAAACCUCAGUCUGCACCGCGGGUACACUUUCUAAUGAUAUUAGUGAUCACUGCCCAGUCUUUAUAGUGUACGCAUUAGAUAACAGUAUCAAACAAAACAUUGAAUUACUUACCUACCAACACAUUUCUAACGAAGCACUGGAUUUAUUCAGUCUAGCUGUAGGCACGCAAGACUGGGAUUCCGUGUUAAGAGAAAAAAAUGUUAACGAAGUGUAUAACAAGUUUCUUGAACUAUUUCUGCGCAUCUACACUGCGCAUUUCCCCUUCAGACAAGUUAGGAAAUCAAAAAAGAUACGAAAACCGUGGAUUAUGAGUGAGCACAUCAAAAUGAUAAAAAAGGAGAACCGGCCUUAUCAUGCAUUCUUGCACUCGAGACCAGAAAUUAAACUUAAGGAAUUCAAAACCGAAAGAAAAAAAACUGAAUAAAAUACUAAGGCAGGCAGAAACAGAUUACUGUCAACGUCUGUUUUUCGAAAUCGACAAGAAACGUCUGGAUGCGGUUUGGAUAAUAAUAAAUAACGUUCUAGGUCGUCAAACUAAAAGUAGUGUACCCAAGUCGAUGAGCUACGCAAAUUGCGAAUUGAUCGGUAGAGCACUGGCAGACCAUUUCAAUAAUCAUUUUGUGAAUGCAAGCGUUACGCACACCCAUGACUCCCAAGUCAUGGAUUCACUAGAUAAAUGUGUUUCAGAAACUAUAUUUAUGGAGUCAACUGACGAACAUGAGGUGUUUACAACAAUAAAAAAUCUUAAUAACAGAGUUGCAUUGGAUAUUGACAAUUUACAAAUUAAGCCAAUAAAAUAUGUCUUACAUCACUUGCCAUUUAUCCGCACGUUGGUCCAUAUAAUAAAUAGCCAUAGAAUCGGCGACUUUCCCAGACGGCAUGAAACAAGCUAAAGUAUCUGUGCUAUACAAACAUGGUGAUAUAAAUAAUGUUUCAAGUUAUGGACCAAUAUCUGUCCUACCCAUUUUUUCCAAAGUGCUAGAAAAAAUUAUUGCUACGCGCCUAACAAUGUUUCUAGACAGAUAUGAUGUAGUAACAUACUCACAGUUUGGUUUUAGAAAAGGUAGAUCUACAGAAGCCGCCCUUUUAUCCUUGAAAGAAAGUAUUGUGCAAAGCAUAGACAACGGAGAAUUCGCCCUCGGGCUCUUCAUCGAUUUUAGCAAGCCAUUUGAUUCCAUCAGUCAUGACAUUCUUAAAUACAAACUAUCACACAUUGAGUACGCGGACAUCCACUCACUUUAAUGGAAUCAUAUCUCAGAAAUAGAGUUCAGUAUGUAUGUAUUAACAACGUCCUAUCUUCUUUCUUGACACCUAAAAAUGAAGUGCCGAAAGGGAGUGUUUUGGGCCCUCUAUUAUCUAACUUAUUUAUUAAUGACUUAGUAAAUUUGAUCCUACAGUUGAUUUCUUUAUAUAUGCGGAUGAUAGCACUAUACUCUUCUGUGGAAAAGACGCAAAUGAACUAAUUAUCUGGUGUAAUGCAUUGCUAAUGAAACUUACUGAUUGGUCACAUCCAAAUGUGAUCAGAAUUAUACCAAUAAAACGAAAGCUAUGCUUUUCAGAGCCAUAAACAAACCUUUUCAGUUGGAACAUUCAAUCACUUAUUUAGGCAAACACAUAGAACUAGUUAAUGAACACAAAAUACUUGGAGUAAUAUUUUCACGUCAUUUGAGUUGGGAUGCUCAUUUUAAUAACCUUCGAAGCAAGUUUUCUGCAGUCGCCGGUUUACUAUCUCGUCGUAGAGCUUACAUGCCGACAAAAGCCAAGCUACAAACCUAUCAUGCAUUUUUCAUCCCGCAAUUUAAUUAUUGCAGUUUAGUAUGGGCAACGACAGCACGAACGAACAUAAAUAAAAUAGUUACAUUAGAAAAGGCACUUUUCCGACACAUUGCUAGUAUUGAAGCCAGAUCAACCACAAAAACAUCAUCACAAACAUACCAAAUCAUAUGGGUAGAUCGGUACUACGAAUAUCGUCUUUUGCAAAUGUUUUAUUUUGCAAGAAAAGAAUGGAGAGAUUUUCUUGCAUCACUAGUGACCUUGCAGCACCAUGACAUACCUGCGCAUUUCAGAAAUCCUGAACCUUGGCUUGUACCGCGCUUUCGCACCGAGUAUAUGUUACAAUCUAUUAAACACAAUUUGCCGAAAAUUCUAAAUAAUCAUGUUCACGCUAAUAAAUUCUCUCGUAAAGAGUUGAAGAUGUGUUUCGUUAACCUAUAAUAUAUAUAUUCAUGUAUAACGAUGCAUAUAAAUGACCAUGUUCUUAUUUUUUGCCUUUUUGUCUUACUUGUACCAAAAUGUCUUGUUGUUUCUUACAUAAGCAUGCAUCUGAGUUUUCAAUUUUAUGUUUAGUUUAUGUUUAGUAAACUUCUGCUUAAGGUUUUUUGUACCAAAAAGGUUACUGUUAUCGCGCUGUCAUGUAUAACGCCUCCUGCGUCCAG